Molecule: ribosomal RNA, 2520 nt
Filed under: Triticum aestivum (bread wheat)
Lineage: Eukaryota; Viridiplantae; Streptophyta; Magnoliopsida; Poales; Poaceae
Description: partial small subunit ribosomal RNA
Source: RNAcentral
GGAUGAUUUGGGGAAGGACGCCCGACUCGAGGCCUUGGGUUGGGGAUCUUGGAUCAGAGUCAGGCCUGAGAUCAGAGGCUUUAGGGUUUUUUUUGUGAAUGAAAAAUGCAUGUUAUUUACAAAGUGGGAGGAUAAGUGUUAAUAUUUGCUUGACUGCACGUGAGACCUGGGAUUUUAAUCGUGGGGCUGAAAACGAAGGGAUACAAGGAUACACAACACACCUCGGAUUCACAGGAUAUGUUGCCUAAAUGAUGUGCCCUGUUUUGAUGGUUGAAAAGCCACUAGAUAAUUCUAGCUCCCACGCUCCUGCGACGCACCACUCCGGUGCCCGCAGCCACCAUUGUCGCCGCCCAGCUCCCUCCAUCCCAACAAGGCUACUCCCCGGUCUCGCCGCGGUUCCCUCCGGGAUUCCCUAUGCCGUGGUUCUUGCGACCAGAUCCGCUGGUGGCCCUCUUCCCACAGCUUGAGGGGGGCUCCUUAGAUCUGCGUAUCCAGACCGGCGCUGCUCUGCCGGAGUGCUGCGCGGCGGCCUCAGGUGCGAUAAGGCGUUCCGCAAGGUGUGGUUCGCUUCUCAGGAUGCCCUGCUGGAUCCCACCCCCAAGCUCCCCGUCCAUGGCCUCCUCCGGCCAUGUCUGAAAGCGGCGCCGGCUGCCUCCAUGUCGGCGGGUCGGCGUGCGGCGCGGGACGCCUCCUCGAGCCCGGCGUCUCCUGUUGCAGGUUCAAGGCGGGGCACAUCCUCGAGCCAUGCACCUCCUUCUGCGGACUCAAGGUGGUGCCCCGAUGCGGACUGCAGCCGGUCGGAGGAAUGGCAUCUCGUUCGGCCAACAUAUUGGUGGCGUCAGCGGCGCUCCGACCUCCAGCUUCCGAGCCGCCGACCCGCGUCUUCAUUUUCUGCCCCUGGGCAGAGAGCAUUCGUCAAGUUCAUAGAGUAAGCCAUUGUUGCCUCCUCAAAGGACACCUGAAGAUUGAAUGUCGAAAUCCAUUCACCUGCCUCAGAUGCCGUCAGAUUGGCCAUCGCGCUCGGAACUGCACCAACCCCCUGAAGACGCCACCACCGCCUCCACCUCAGACGCUUCGCCUGCGGCCACCGUACAACGGUUGCCUAGUUCUUCUGCAGCAUGCCUGCACCCCGCUGGACCAAUCACCCGCUCGCAUCCUGUCGACGGAGAGCCCCGCCAUCGAGAAAGACAUGUGCCGGCGCCGGGUCGCCACGAUGACGACGACGAUAAUGAGUGUGGUGCGGUUAGCCCUGCUUCGGGCCGAAGGGCAAGGAACAGAGCGCACGACCGCUCGCCUGACGCGUCGUCCCGAGACUCUGUUGCCGCUGCCACCCUGGAUUCUCGCGGACGCUCACCUCCGCCAUCGCCGCGCACCACCUCUCGAGACAUCUCGAGAUCAAGACUACCAGCUCUGCCAUGGUCUCGCCUCCGCCAUUGCCGCGCACCACCGCUCAGGACAUUAUCGAGAUCGAGACUACCAGCUCUGCCAUGGGCUGGCUCUGUGGAACCACCGCCGGUCUAGAUGCCAGGAUCCAGCCGUCCUUCUCGCUGGAUGAUUGUGAGACGCGAGAUUCUUCGAUGCAGGCAAAGCCUGAGCUUGUGCUGGCAACACCUGAUGGGGAGAUCACCCCAGCUCUGUACCCAGGCAGCUGCAUCUUUUAACUCCUCUGGUGCGGUACUCUCGACGCCAACCCCUCCGGAUAUGCAACAAGAUACUAGCCCGGGCCUGGACCACAACAGUGAGGCAAGAUCUACACCCAUCCACUACUCCUCCCCGGGAUGCUUGACUGAAGACGCAGCUACUCCAAUCUUCAUUCCUCGCAUGCCGGCCCUGCUGCCGUCUCCCUCGCCAUGCACAACUCCCCCAAGACCUCCCAAGGCGAGACACAAAACUUUGGCAGGUGUCACUGGGUUCCAGUUGCAGAGACAAAGCCCACGGCUUCGGGCCAAGAAAAGGGGUGUGCCCAUUGCCAAGCUUGCGGAGCAACUUCUAUGCCACCGGAUGGGCAUCGUUGCUGAAGGCGAACAGGUCACGGAGACGGCAAUCAUCAAGUUUGCUAAUCUGUUCCAUGAUCGCCUUCCUGACAUUGCGAUUGCGGUGCUGCGUGCGCUGUUUCAGCUUGAUUGUGACCUCUCCACCGCGGUCGAGGACGCCCUGGUGCUUCAUGGAGGGGAAGGUGGGCCGGAUGUGAGCGAGCAGGCUGCUGGGGAUGCUUGAAGCUCCGUCUGCCGCUGAUGAUGUAGCCAAGUUUCUCAUGUUAGUGCACCCUAAUAGCCGGUCCUUAGUGUGGUUCUGUACGCCUGUUUGUGGUUGCGCCUGUGCGCCACUGAACUUGGGCCUGGCGAGACUGGUCGUCGCUGUAACUACCACGCCUGUUUGUGGCUGCGCCUGUGCACCAAUGAUCUGGGUCCUAGCGAGACCAAAUAUGGCUGUAGCGUUCAAGAAGUUAUGUGUUCCCCAUGUGGGUUAUGAGGUAGCUCUGGUUCCCAAAUGUUAGAAAACAACUUAUCAAUCCAGUGC